UAUAUAUAUACACACACACACACACAAACAUGUUUCUGUGUGUGUGUGUAUAUAAACACACACACACAUAUAUAUAUAUAUAUAACACAAAUUUAGGCUUAGGAGUCAUCUUUUCUCUUAGGUUGAUUUUUAAUUCUAAGUCUCAGAAAACAAUUAAUUUAUCUUUGUUUUAAUCAUCAUUGAGGCCCAGCAAACCUCUGAGGUAAAAGGGUGAGAAGGUAGGGUGGGGGCUGGAUAAUGAGAAAUUACUUAAGGGUUAUAAUGUAAAUUAUUUGAGUGAUGGAUACCCUAAAAGCCCUGACUUCAUCACUAUGCAGUCUAUGCAUGUAACUAAAUUACAUUUGUACACAACACGUUUGCAAAAAAAAUUAAAAAGAACCACUAGA
RNAcentral lists this long non-coding RNA (386 nucleotides) under Pongo abelii (Sumatran orangutan). RNAcentral's name for it is "lincRNA". The record is from RNAcentral. Lineage: Eukaryota; Metazoa; Chordata; Mammalia; Primates; Hominidae.